Molecule: ribosomal RNA, 492 nt
Filed under: unidentified nematode Sourhope farm
Lineage: Eukaryota; Metazoa; Nematoda
Description: SSU rRNA
Rfam family: Eukaryotic small subunit ribosomal RNA
Source: RNAcentral
UUAAGCCAUGCAUGUCUAAGUAUAAACGAUUUAAUCGUGAAACCGCGAAUGGCUCAUUAUAACAGCUAUAAUUUACUUGAUCUUGACACAAUCCUACUUGGAUAACUGUGGUAAUUCUAGAGCUAAUACAUGCAUUAAAGCUCUGACCUCACGGGAAGAGUGCAUUUAUUAGAACAAAACCAAGCGGCUUCGGCUGUUUCUGGUUGACUCAUAGUAACUGAGCUGAUCGCAUGGUCUUGCACCGGCGACGUGUCUUUCAAGUAUCUGCCGUAUCAACUUUCGAUGGUAGUGUAUCUGACUACCAUGGUGAUCACGCGUAACGGAGAAUAAGGGUUCGGCUCCGGAGAGUUCGCCUGAGAAAUCGCGAACACAUCUAAGGAAGGCAGCAGGCGCGAAAAUUACCCACUCUCAGCACGAGGAGGUAGUGACGAAAAAUAACGAGACCGUUCUCUUAUGAGGCCGGUCAUCGGAAUGGGUACAAUUUAAACCCUU